RNAcentral lists this ribosomal RNA (770 nucleotides) under Tricholoma batschii. RNAcentral describes it as "partial small subunit ribosomal RNA". It matches the Rfam family "Bacterial small subunit ribosomal RNA", at positions 420 to 1058 of the family's 1533-position model. The record is from RNAcentral. Lineage: Eukaryota; Fungi; Basidiomycota; Agaricomycetes; Agaricales; Tricholomataceae.
AAAUCAUAUGACUCAUGAAUAUGGUGAUUAUGAUAACAUAAGGGAAAAAAAUGAUGUUACCUUAUUAUUAGUGUUGUCCAAAACUGGUGCCAGAAGACUCGGUAAGACCAGAGACGCAAACGUUAGUCAUCUUAAUCAGGCGUAAAGGGUGUGUAGGCUGCUUUAAAAGUUUAUUUUUUUUAAUAGCUCUGUUACCGUAAUACUCUCUAAUUUUUAUAAAAAAAAAGAGUAUAUAAAAUUUAUAAUUAAAUAAAUGAUAAUUAAAGCAUAUCCGAGUAUCAGAAAAAAAAUAAAUGAAUUAAAGCUAGAAUCAAAUUGAGGAUAAACCAAAUAAUACUUAGAGUAGGGGUUAAAUCCACAGAUACUAAGGGGAAUACUAAAGGUGAAGACUUUUUAUCUACUAUUGAUUGACGCUGAGAAACGAAGGUGAGAAUAGGAAAUAGGAUUUGAUACCCAGAUACCUCUCACUGUCAACGAUGAAUGGUGGUUGUUAGUUUUAGAAAAAACUGGUAACGAUGUUAACACGAUAACCAUUCCGCCUUGCGAGUACGGUUGCAAAACUGAAACCAAAAAAAUUAGUCGGUUUCGAAGCAAACGAAGUGAGCAUGUUAUUUAAUAUGAGAUACGCAUAAAACCUUACCAGUUCUUGCAUAGCCAAUUUUGUUAUUAGAAUUUUUUUAUUCUAAUAUCUUUUAAAUAAGAAAGACAGAAUUGAGUAAUUUUUAUAAAUUUUAAAAAUUCGUUUACAGGUGUUGCAUGGCUGUCGUCAA